GAUGAAGAACGUAGCAAAAUGCGAUAAGUAAUGUGAAUUGCAGAAUUCAGUGAAUCAUCGAAUCUUUGAACGCACAUUGCGCCCGCCAGUAUUCUGGCGGGCAUGCCUGUUCGAGCGUCAUUUCAACCCUCAAGCACAGCUUGGUGUUGGGACUCGCGUUAAUUCGCGUUCCCCAAAUUGAUUGGCGGUCACGUCGAGCUUCCAUAGCGUAGUAGUAAAACCCUCGUUACUGGUAAUCGUCGCGGCCACGCCGUUAAACCCCAACUUCUGAAUGUUGACCUCGGAUCAGGUAGGAAUACCCGCUGAACUUAAGCAUAUCAAUAAGCGAGG
This 330-nucleotide unclassified non-coding RNA is filed under the name soil metagenome. RNAcentral's name for it is "partial contains 5.8S ribosomal RNA, internal transcribed spacer 2, and large subunit ribosomal RNA". The stretch from base 1 to 120 matches the Rfam family "5.8S ribosomal RNA", at positions 35 to 154 of the family's 154-position model. The record is from RNAcentral.